Molecule: non-coding RNA, 21 nt
Organism: Caenorhabditis elegans
Lineage: Eukaryota; Metazoa; Nematoda; Chromadorea; Rhabditida; Rhabditidae
Source: Ensembl
UCACACGGCGACUAUUUUGAC